UGAUGAAGUCCGGAUGAAGUUCGGAGUAGAGUCGUCCAUGGACGAAAGAAGUCUGGAAGAGAUUCGGAGAAUAGCCAAUCAUCGUAGAAAAUCGACUGAUAGUGGAGUCCAGAGGGCGUUUGGAACAAUCCGGUAGAUGAAUGAGGAAGCUCAUUGUCAGAGAAGUCUGGAUGGUGUUAUGGAAGCUCGGACGGUCGAGGGAGUUCAGAAAGACG
This 215-nucleotide long non-coding RNA is filed under the name Elaeis guineensis (African oil palm). Its description in RNAcentral is "long non-coding RNA (EGUI_LNC049544)". The record is from RNAcentral. Lineage: Eukaryota; Viridiplantae; Streptophyta; Magnoliopsida; Arecales; Arecaceae.